Long non-coding RNA from Dermochelys coriacea (leatherback sea turtle), 559 nucleotides. RefSeq lists it as uncharacterized. The transcript is spliced from 3 exons. The record is from RefSeq and is a predicted model, not a curated record. NCBI's taxonomy places the organism in Eukaryota, Metazoa, Chordata, Testudines, Dermochelyidae.
CAUCUGUUGCAGAGAACUCCAGAGUUAACUGCAGACCAAAAGUCUGCUCAAAAUAUUUUGGACCAGAUUCUGAUCUCAGUUCACCCAGUGAAAAUCCAGAGCAUCUCCACUGAGGUGAGAGGCUGAUUGCUGAAGCCAGGUAAAUAGGAAGGCUUCCGAGAAAUGUGCAGCUGGAAGGAUGGAAGUACUGUUUGCCAAGGAAAGCAGCCAUUCAAAUCACCACUUUGGCAGGGGAUCUGGGAUGGCCACCAAGAGGAGCACAGUUGAUGGGGACUGGGGAACAAGCCCUCUCUGCAGGUAGGCACCUGAACCAAACUUUUCAAAGAGAAAGCUUACCUGUGAGAUGGACUCCAUGGUCCAGCCAUGCUUAGAUUGGAUCUCUAGGCUGCAGCCGUCCUGUUUCCCAGUCAUGUUAACUCUGCAGGCCCAACUGUAUUUGGCACCUGCAAGACACUUCACUCUGAGAGCCCCUCACCAGAGGUUGAUCCAAGUGACUCAAAACAGCUUUUCCAAAACAAAUAUAUGGUUUAUGCACCCAACUAGCCAUCAAAGUGUAAAA